UGUUGCUGUCGUCCAACAUUCUUCUUUCCCACUUUGUUCAUAGUUUUUUUUCUCUUUUCUCUUCUCCUCACUGGAACUGCCUCCCUCCCCUUUCUAACACCCUUUUUGACAUUCACUUCUUAUCUUUUGGAAGUGAUUUACUGUUCGUUUUCUCCAUCAUUUUGCUGCCGUUUUUCACUGAUUUUCCAGCCUCAAAUCUGUCAUUUUUAUCACUUAAAAACAACCUCCAUUGCUGCAAUGGAAAACACCAUUGCCGCCCCUUCAUCUGUCUUGUCCCUUGAACGUUCUCUAAAAGCCGCCUAAGUCAGCCUUUUUAACCACCGUCGUAGGGGUGUGUUGCUGCCCUUAAAGUCUCUGUUGUGGCUGCUGAUUGAUUAUCGAAGCUAGUUCAGACUCGAGGAUCGUCGGGAAACGUCAUCACGCUAUCGAUCAUCUUGUUGGUACUUUUGAAGCUUUGUAUAUAUGGCAUAUGGCAUGUAUAGGCUAAUGAACUUUUGGUAUGUUUUGAAUUGUAAUUCUAGCCAUGUGAGUUGGCUUGGAAAUGGUAUAUCUUGUGUGAUGGAUGGUGGCAAUUUGGUUUGUGUGAUGAUAAGAUGCUGUCCAAAUUAGUGCUUAAAUGCUAUCCAUUUUUGAGCAUAUUAAUGCUGUCCAAAUUGAUGAUUAA
Gossypium raimondii (Peruvian cotton) is the source of this 664-nucleotide long non-coding RNA. RefSeq lists it as uncharacterized. Lineage: Eukaryota; Viridiplantae; Streptophyta; Magnoliopsida; Malvales; Malvaceae. The transcript is spliced from 3 exons. The record is from RefSeq and is a predicted model, not a curated record.